RNAcentral lists this ribosomal RNA (446 nucleotides) under uncultured bacterium. RNAcentral's name for it is "partial 16S ribosomal RNA". It matches the Rfam family "Bacterial small subunit ribosomal RNA", at positions 338 to 795 of the family's 1533-position model. The record is from RNAcentral.
CCUACGGGAGGCUGCAGUCGAGAAUCAUUCACAAUGGGGGAAACCCUGAUGGUGCGACGCCGCGUGGGGGAAUGAUGGUCUUCGGAUUGUAAACCCCUGUCAUGUGGGAGCAAAUUAAAAAGAUAGUACCACAAGAGGAAGAGACGGCUAACUCUGUGCCAGCAGUCUCGGUAAUACAGAGGGCCCAGGCGUUGAUUGGAAUCACUGGGCGUAAAGCGUGCGUAGGCUGUUUCGUAAGUCGUGUGUGAAAGGCGCGGGCUCAACCCGCGGACGGCACAUGAUACUGCGAGACUAGAGUAAUGGGGGGGGAACCGGAAUUCUCGGUGUAGCAGUGAAAUGCGGAGAUAUCGAGAGGAACACUCGUGGCGAAGGCGGGUUCCUGGACAUUAACUGACGCUGAGGCACGAAGGCCAGGGGAGCGAAAGGGAUUAGAUACCCCUGUAGUC